UUCAGAUUGCAGGCUGCAACUCGCCUGCAUGAAGUCGGAAUUGCUAGUAAUCGUAGGUCAGCAUACUACGGUGAAUACGUUCCCGGGCCUUGUACACACCGCCCGUCAAACCAUGAGAGUUGGCAACACCCGAAGUCGGUAGUCUAACCGCAAGGAGGACGCCGCCGAAGGUGGGGUUGAUGAUUAGGGUUAAGUCGUAACAAGGUAAC
Molecule: ribosomal RNA, 209 nt
Filed under: uncultured bacterium
Lineage: Bacteria
Description: partial 16S ribosomal RNA
Rfam family: Bacterial small subunit ribosomal RNA
Source: RNAcentral